RNAcentral lists this ribosomal RNA (562 nucleotides) under uncultured Micrococcus sp. Its description in RNAcentral is "bacterial SSU rRNA". It matches the Rfam family "Bacterial small subunit ribosomal RNA", at positions 338 to 910 of the family's 1533-position model. Lineage: Bacteria; Bacillati; Actinomycetota; Actinomycetes; Micrococcales; Micrococcaceae. The record is from RNAcentral.
CCUACGGGAGGCAGCAGUGGGGAAUAUUGCACAAUGGGCGAAAGCCUGAUGCAGCGACGCCGCGUGAGGGAUGACGGCCUUCGGGUUGUAAACCUCUUUCAGUAGGGAAGAAGCGAAAGUGACGGUACCUGCAGAAGAAGCACCGGCUAACUACGUGCCAGCAGCCGCGGUAAUACGUAGGGUGCGAGCGUUAUCCGGAAUUAUUGGGCGUAAAGAGCUCGUAGGCGGUUUGUCGCGUCUGCCGUGAAAGUCCGGGGCUUAACUCCGGAUCUGCGGUGGGUACGGGCAGACUAGAGUGCGGUAGGGGAGACUGGAAUUCCUGGUGUAGCGGUGGAAUGCGCAGAUAUCAGGAGGAACACCGAUGGCGAAGGCAGGUCUCUGGGCUGUAACUGACGCUGAGGAGCGAAAGCAUGGGGAGCGAACAGGAUUAGAUACCCUGGUAGUCCAUGCCGUAAACGUUGGGCACUAGGUGUGGGGGCCAUUCCACGGUUUCCGCGCCGCAGCUAACGCAUUAAGUGCCCCGCCUGGGGAGUACGGCCGCAAGGCUAAAACUCAAAGGAAU